UCCUCAAUAGCUCAGUUGGUAGAGCGCAUGACUGUUAAUCAUGAUGUCGUUGGUUCGAGUCCAACUUGGGGAG
This 73-nucleotide transfer RNA is filed under the name Lachnospiraceae bacterium G41. It matches the Rfam family "tRNA". Rfam says of the family: Transfer RNA (tRNA) molecules are approximately 80 nucleotides in length. Their secondary structure includes four short double-helical elements and three loops (D, anti-codon, and T loops). RNAcentral also lists the same sequence under 2 other names. The record is from Rfam by way of RNAcentral. Lineage: Bacteria; Bacillati; Bacillota; Clostridia; Lachnospirales; Lachnospiraceae.